RNAcentral lists this ribosomal RNA (497 nucleotides) under uncultured bacterium. Its description in RNAcentral is "partial 16S ribosomal RNA". It matches the Rfam family "Bacterial small subunit ribosomal RNA", at positions 28 to 507 of the family's 1533-position model. The record is from RNAcentral.
GAUGAACGCUGGCGGCGUGCCUAAUACAUGCAAGUCGAGCGAACAGACGAGGAGCUUGCUCCUCUGACGUUAGCGGCGGACGGGUGAGUAACACGUGGAUAACCUACCUAUAAGACUGGGAUAACUUCGGGAAACCGGAGCUAAUACCGGAUAAUAUAUUGCACCGCAUGGUUCAAUAGUGAAAGACGGUUUUGCUGUCACUUAUAGAUGGAUCCGCGCCGCAUUAGCUAGUUGGUAAGGUAACGGCUUACCAAGGCAACGAUGCGUAGCCGACCUGAGAGGGUGAUCGGCCACACUGGAACUGAGACACGGUCCAGACUCCUACGGGAGGCAGCAGUAGGGAAUCUUCCGCAAUGGGCGAAAGCCUGACGGAGCAACGCCGCGUGAGUGAUGAAGGUCUUCGGAUCGUAAAACUCUGUUAUUAGGGAAGAACAAAUGUGUAAGUAACUAUGCACGUCUUGACGGUACCUAAUCAGAAAGCCACGGCUAACUACGUG